GCAGGGAAAAGCCUCGCGCUGAGGCGGUGGGAGCUCUGUGGGACACCGUGAGGGGCCGUUCCUGUGGGACACGAUGAGAAGGGAGAUGGUUCUACCCAAAGAGUGAACACUGACCGUCAUUUAUGGAGCAGGCGCUGUUUCCAGGAGAGCUGAGAGCAGUCCUGCCAGUAGUCUUUGUUAUUUUUAGUUGCACCAGGGAAUGCCAGUGCCUUGGCUAGGAGUCUGAAACCAUCAUCUGUUUGCUACCCCAACCUUCAGCCGUUCAUCUGGGACAGAAAGACUUCGAUGUGGACUUUCACCAAGUGAUUUUCUGCAAAUAAAUUAAUACAAUACCUGUUUCUUCUAAUGUGGACCAUGGCAAAGAAUCACAGUUAGUUGUCCAGACAUUGUAUAAGCUUGAUACGCAUAAUGUGGAAUAAAACAACAAAGGAAAAAUACUUUUAAUUGAGGGAACCCUAUGUGUAUAUGGACUCUUUUCUGUAUUGAUUAUUUUCUCGCCCUCCAUUUUAAUCCUAUCUGAGCAUUUCCCAGAUGUCAAAGUACAUUUACCCCUGUAAUGCAUGGAGUUUUCUCUUGAUUUUGGUUCUGUAGAAAAGUUCUCUCUAAGUUUUGUUGGUUCAUUUUUGAGAAAUCCUGCUGUGUAUUUCAAAGAUAUACGUCCACUCUUCCUCUGGCUGUUUCAUCAGCAGCUGAAAUGUUGCAACAGCAAAGAUUACAGACUCUCGUCAGGGAAAGCAGGCACAGGCAGGCACUUAAUUGUCUGAAAGGGCACAAACAUCAUCAAAUUCCAAUACUGCAACAGCCCAUUGAUUUAAAAUACACUAUUGACAACCAUUGCUAUUAGGAGCAUUAUUCAACAAUAUUUGUUUAGAAGUGUAUAUUUAUUUACAAGUGUAGAUACUGUGAGGGUUUUUUCCCCUGGAGUAACUUAGUACUUUGAGUGAUCCUGUUGAGUUUGCAAACAUUGUAUCCUAACUUCCCAUCUUCCAAAUUCAGGUCACUAAUGACUAUAUCACUAAAUAUAACUAUACCAGAAUGCUGGUAUUAGUUUAUCACAGCGUGUGUGUGAUAAAUGUAUGUGUAGGUUAGAUGAGUGCAGUUCUUCUAGACAAGGUAUCAGAUGCUGUCUGGAAACAAAAUGAGAACAAAAUAGAGCCAGAUUGGUUUCUGUGAGCCAAUGUAUUUCUGCCAUUGUCUCCAGAAGAUCCUUAGAAAUCUGCUAGAUCCUUAAAUGUUGUGCUUUAGCAUAUUUGUUUUUUUCUUUUAGAAUAAUAAGUUCUUAGAGACUUGGCACAGAUGGAGAUGCCCAAGUCUCUUACAGACUUUAGAGGCAGAGGACCAUUAAUAUAAUUAGGCUCCUAUUGUGCAAAGCGCUGUGCAAAAAUUAAGAGAAAGGAAAAUCUGUCCUCAAAUAAAUAAUCAUCUCCAAAACUCAGCAGUUUGCUUAAUGUUAGAAAAUGUCUGGGUAAUUUUUAAAAAAUACUUAUUUAAUGGAAAGUCCUUUUGAUACAUUAAGGUAUUUCUGGAUGCAAGGAAAAAUGCAAAAUUGAAAGGCAAGUCCCCAACAGGCAUCUCCAUGUUGAGGCUGAGGAAGCUGCAAACUGCACCUUUAUAACCCAGGAGAGCAAGGGGAGAAAAUAUGGGUUUUGUGCAUUGUUUCCCUUGCAGCCCCCUUAACUGGCAGCAGGGGAGUGGGGCUUUUGUGAUAAGAUUUUGGCAGACUACUUUGAAUGGGUCUGUAGAAGGAAACUAAAAUUUUCUUUCUGUUUCCCAGCUAGCAAGAGGUGCAAACACUUGUAUUGCCACCAUCUCUCUUUUCUGCUAAUCCCUUCUGGUGGAAAUGACUACUUAAAUUGUUUGACUAAAAGUAUUGCUUAAUAUAAACAUUUCCACCAUAAGCAGUUGUAUUUUCUAGUUUGGUUUUGGUGCUCUUUGAGAAGUCUACUAUGAACUGCACACAGCUAUGGAAGCCAUCUUGCUCAAAUAGAUAGACAAGAAUGCCCUUAACCAACUUCAAGAUGGAAUAAUUUCAGAUUCAGACAUAAAAAAUAUAUUCUGGAGAUGGUGUAUAUAAUCCCUUUAUUUGCUUGAAUAAUGGUAGAAAAAAAGUAGUUGCCAUUUGCAAUAAUUCUGUGUCUUGAAAGAUAAAAAGCUUAAUUCACAUUGGAUAUAUGCAUGAGAAUUAGGGGAUUAUGGUGUUGAGUCACAUUUUUAGAACAGUUGAGCUUGUCAGUGCCUACCUCACUUUCAAAAUGGGAACUUCGGUUUUUAAGUGAUCAAUGUGCUUAUUAAAGUUUGAUUAUAAAUGGCUUUUUCAAGCACUCUGCCUUUGGAGUGUGACCAUCUCUGUUACAUCCAUACUCCUGAAAUUCCUAGAAAGAAUAAAGAUGUCAUCUAAGUGGACCAGCUGCUUAUCUUUUCCUCCAGGAAGUUCCAAUGAAUUGUUUUUUAUUAGACUAGAUUUGAUUUUGGCCUUGAAAAAAUUGCUGCAUAAUCUGCUAAGCAUUUCUCAAAGGCAUUUUGUACAAAAACACCUGAUCUGUUUUUCAAGGUAUUUUCUAAAGUAGGUUUAUGGUUGUCUUGAAAUCUAAUCUGGAAAUAUUCUGGAAAAAUAUGUCUAAACACUUUUUACAUAUAUUUUUACAUAUGUAAAAACACUUCUAAAAGAGUGUGCCAUAUUAAUAAGACACAAGCUUUUCAGUCUUUUCAAAGUCAGGAAAAGGAGACAGUAACUCAUGUUUUUAGAUGUGAGAUCAGUUAGUCACUACCACUCCUUAUCACACUGACCUGGGAAGCAUACUUGUGUCUGACAACCUGCAAUUAGAGAGUACAAUUUGCUUCUUGACUUGGCAGUGGUGAUUUAUGUGGCAAAAAAGGAGAUUGUUUUUCUUAUGCUUUGUUCUGUAGAAUAACCUGACCAUUGCCCUUCUUCAGGCAACACAGCACUGAGGCAUUGAGGGUAGAUCCUCAAGGGGAUUUCUGUUGCUGCAGCACUAACCUACAUAAUUCCUAGCUUUGCAUACCCAGAGGGCUAGAUGAGUUCAUGAAGCAGAAAAAAGACUAUGAAUUCUGUCACCCAGUCCUUGCAUCUUGUAUUUUAUCUUUAUAUUUAUCUUAUAUUUCAUCUAAAAAUGGGUUUGUAAUUCAGCAUGCAGAAAUGGCAAAACCUGUAGGAGAUGGGGAAAAGCUACCAGAGGGGGCAGCCCUGAAGUCAGUGCCUUUGGGGAGCUCCCUGUCUCUCAUGGCCCUCCCCAGCUUCUUGCUACUUUUAAGAAACAAAUGUUAAUUUCCUCUAGGACUUAGAUUAAUUUUUGAAUUCCAAGGAUCCAUAUCAACCUAAUGGUAAAUGGUUUUUAAUUUUUCUAUGCAAAGAAGAAGUUCACAGGGAAGAUUGAGAACAACUUGUCUUUUCGUGGGAUACUCUCCUGAUGAAAGGUUUGAUAAGUCCAAGUUUUAUAAUGUGGUGAAGUUUUUGACCUGUAUUUUCCAGCUCCUAAAUAAAUAUUCCGAUGACUUUAUGGAGAUUUCCUA
Passer domesticus (house sparrow) is the source of this 3531-nucleotide long non-coding RNA. RefSeq lists it as uncharacterized. The record is from RefSeq and is a predicted model, not a curated record. NCBI's taxonomy places the organism in Eukaryota, Metazoa, Chordata, Aves, Passeriformes, Passeridae. The transcript has 3 exons.